This 1490-nucleotide ribosomal RNA is filed under the name metagenome. RNAcentral's name for it is "bacterial SSU rRNA". It matches the Rfam family "Bacterial small subunit ribosomal RNA". The record is from RNAcentral.
AGAGUUUGAUCCUGGCUCAGGAUGAACGCUAGCUACAGGCUUAACACAUGCAAGUCGAGGGGAAACGAUAUUGGAAGCUUGCUUCCGAUGGGCGUCGACCGGCGCACGGGUGAGUAACGCGUAUCCAACCUGCCCACCACUUGGGGAUAACCUUGCGAAAGUAAGACUAAUACCCAAUGAUAUCUCUAGAAGACAUCUGAAAGAGAUUAAAGAUUUAUCGGUGAUGGAUGGGGAUGCGUCUGAUUAGCUUGUUGGCGGGGUAACGGCCCACCAAGGCAACGAUCAGUAGGGGUUCUGAGAGGAAGGUCCCCCACAUUGGAACUGAGACACGGUCCAAACUCCUACGGGAGGCAGCAGUGAGGAAUAUUGGUCAAUGGACGAGAGUCUGAACCAGCCAAGUAGCGUGCAGGAAGACGGCCUUAUGGGUUGUAAACUGCUUUUAUAAGGGAAUAAAGUGAGAGUCGUGACUCUUUUUGCAUGUACCUUAUGAAUAAGGACCGGCUAAUUCCGUGCCAGCAGCCGCGGUAAUACGGAAGGUCCGGGCGUUAUCCGGAUUUAUUGGGUUUAAAGGGAGCGUAGGCCGGAGAUUAAGCGUGUUGUGAAAUGUAGACGCUCAACGUCUGCACUGCAGCGCGAACUGGUUUCCUUGAGUACGCACAAAGUGGGCGGAAUUCGUGGUGUAGCGGUGAAAUGCUUAGAUAUCACGAAGAACUCCGAUUGCGAAGGCAGCUCACUGGAGCGCAACUGACGCUGAAGCUCGAAAGUGCGGGUAUCGAACAGGAUUAGAUACCCUGGUAGUCCGCACGGUAAACGAUGGAUGCCCGCUGUUGGUCUGAAUAGGUCAGCGGCCAAGCGAAAGCAUUAAGCAUCCCACCUGGGGAGUACGCCGGCAACGGUGAAACUCAAAGGAAUUGACGGGGGCCCGCACAAGCGGAGGAACAUGUGGUUUAAUUCGAUGAUACGCGAGGAACCUUACCCGGGUUUGAACGUAGUCUGACCGGAGUGGAAACACUCUUUCUAGCAAUAGCAGAUUACGAGGUGCUGCAUGGUUGUCGUCAGCUCGUGCCGUGAGGUGUCGGCUUAAGUGCCAUAACGAGCGCAACCCUUAUCACUAGUUACUAACAGGUGAAGCUGAGGACUCUGGUGAGACUGCCAGCGUAAGCUGUGAGGAAGGUGGGGAUGACGUCAAAUCAGCACGGCCCUUACAUCCGGGGCGACACACGUGUUACAAUGGCAUGGACAAAGGGCAGCUACCUGGUGACAGGAUGCUAAUCUCCAAACCAUGUCUCAGUUCGGAUCGGAGUCUGCAACUCGACUCCGUGAAGCUGGAUUCGCUAGUAAUCGCGCAUCAGCCAUGGCGCGGUGAAUACGUUCCCGGGCCUUGUACACACCGCCCGUCAAGCCAUGGGAGCCGGGGGUACCUGAAGUCCGUAACCGCAAGGAUCGGCCUAGGGUAAAACUGGUGACUGGGGCUAAGUCGUAACAAGGUA